Molecule: long non-coding RNA, 248 nt
Filed under: Elaeis guineensis (African oil palm)
Lineage: Eukaryota; Viridiplantae; Streptophyta; Magnoliopsida; Arecales; Arecaceae
Description: long non-coding RNA (EGUI_LNC039153)
Source: RNAcentral
CGUGGGGCCUCCCUUGGGCAUCCCCUUGCUGGUGUGAGAUGUCACACCUGGUUUCUCUCAUCCCUCAUUGGGUUGGGUUACGAAUGUGCUUUGACCGGAGUUCAUUCCGCUUUUCUGUGUUGUUUGGCGUGCAUGCGAAGUAGAAGGUCUACACUUUCUGACCUUCACAAAGGUUGAUUCCAGCUAUUCAAAGAUUUGAUUUUUUAUUGUGCUGCUAUCCAGAUAAGGAUUUGAUCUUUAUUCAUAUA